ACAGUCAGUUACAGAUUGAACUC
RNAcentral lists this non-coding RNA (23 nucleotides) under Cricetulus griseus (Chinese hamster). Lineage: Eukaryota; Metazoa; Chordata; Mammalia; Rodentia; Cricetidae. The record is from RNAcentral.